RNAcentral lists this ribosomal RNA (253 nucleotides) under uncultured Pelagibacterales bacterium. RNAcentral describes it as "partial 16S ribosomal RNA". It matches the Rfam family "Bacterial small subunit ribosomal RNA", at positions 524 to 776 of the family's 1533-position model. Lineage: Bacteria; Pseudomonadati; Pseudomonadota; Alphaproteobacteria; Candidatus Pelagibacterales. The record is from RNAcentral.
UACGAAGGGACCUAGCGUAGUUCGGAAUUACUGGGCUUAAAGAGUUCGUAGGUGGUUGAAAAAGUUGGUGGUGAAAUCCCAGAGCUUAACUCUGGAACUGCCAUCAAAACUUUUCAGCUAGAGUAUGAUAGAGGAAAGCAGAAUUUCUAGUGUAGAGGUGAAAUUCGUAGAUAUUAGAAAGAAUACCAAUUGCGAAGGCAGCUUUCUGGAUCAUUACUGACGCUGAGGAACGAAAGCAUGGGUAGCGAAGAGG